AGAGACAGCAGUCGCCGCGGUAAAACGUAGGUCCCGAGCGUUGUCCGGAUUUAUUGGGCGUAAAGGGAGCGCAGGCGGUUUAGUAAGUCUGAAGUUAAAGGCAUUGGCUCAACCAAUGUAUGCUUUGGAAACUGUUAGACUUGAGUGCAGAAGGGGAGAGUGGAAUUCCAUGUGUAGCGGUGAAAUGCGUAGAUAUAUGGAGGAACACCGGUGGCGAAAGCGGCUCUCUGGUCUGUCACUGACGCUGAGGCUCGAAAGCGUGGGUAGCGAACAGGAUUAGAGACCCCAGUAGUCCCUGUCUCUUAUACC
RNAcentral lists this ribosomal RNA (309 nucleotides) under uncultured bacterium. Its description in RNAcentral is "partial 16S ribosomal RNA". It matches the Rfam family "Bacterial small subunit ribosomal RNA", at positions 504 to 808 of the family's 1533-position model. The record is from RNAcentral.